UACGGAGGGUGCUAGCGUUUCUCGGAAUUAUUGGGCGUAAAGCGAAAGUAGGUGGUCUUGUAUGUCUGGGGUGAAAGCCCUGAGCUCAACUCAGGAAUGUCCUCAGAAACUGCAAGACUAGAGUCCUGGAGGGGAUCGUAGAAUUCCCGGUGUAGCGGUGAAAUGCGUAGAGAUCGGGAGGAAUACCAGCGGCGAAAGCGGCGAUCUGGACAGGUACUGACACUGAAUUUCGAGAGCGUGGGGAGCAAACAGG
RNAcentral lists this ribosomal RNA (253 nucleotides) under uncultured bacterium. Its description in RNAcentral is "partial 16S ribosomal RNA". It matches the Rfam family "Bacterial small subunit ribosomal RNA", at positions 524 to 776 of the family's 1533-position model. The record is from RNAcentral.